This 86-nucleotide transfer RNA is filed under the name Planctomycetota bacterium. RNAcentral describes it as "tRNA-Leu". It matches the Rfam family "tRNA". Rfam says of the family: Transfer RNA (tRNA) molecules are approximately 80 nucleotides in length. RNAcentral also lists the same sequence under 3 other names. Lineage: Bacteria; Pseudomonadati; Planctomycetota. The record is from RNAcentral.
GGGCCUGUGGCGGAAUCGGCAGACGCAGUGGACUUAAAAUCCGCGGCCCCGCAAGGGGCGUGAGGGUUCGAGUCCCUCCAGGCCCA